RNAcentral lists this ribosomal RNA (305 nucleotides) under uncultured bacterium. Its description in RNAcentral is "bacterial SSU rRNA". It matches the Rfam family "Bacterial small subunit ribosomal RNA", at positions 335 to 657 of the family's 1533-position model. The record is from RNAcentral.
UGCCCUACGGGGGGCAGCAGUGGGGAAUAUUGGACAAUGGGGGAAACCCUGAUCCAGCGACGCCGCGUGAGUGAAGAAGUAUUUCGGUACGUAAAGCUCUAUCAGCAGGAGAGAAAAUGACGGUACCUGACUAAGAAGCCCCGGCUAACUACGUGCCAGCAGCCGCGGUAAUACGUAGGGGGCAAGCGUUGUCCGGAAUUACUGGGUGUAAAGGGAGCGCAGGCGGGAAGCCAAGUCAGCUGUGAAAACUACGGGCUUAACUUGUAGACUGCAGUUGAAACUGGUUUUCUUGAGUGAAGUAGAGG